UCCCUGGUGGCUCAGAUGGUAAAGCAUCUGCUUGCAAUGCAAGAGACUUGGGUUCGAUUCCUGGUUCAGGAA
RNAcentral lists this transfer RNA (72 nucleotides) under Ovis aries (sheep). It matches the Rfam family "tRNA". Rfam says of the family: Transfer RNA (tRNA) molecules are approximately 80 nucleotides in length. Their secondary structure includes four short double-helical elements and three loops (D, anti-codon, and T loops). The record is from Rfam by way of RNAcentral. Lineage: Eukaryota; Metazoa; Chordata; Mammalia; Artiodactyla; Bovidae.